UGAGACAUAGGUCACAAGGCAGA
RNAcentral lists this non-coding RNA (23 nucleotides) under Cricetulus griseus (Chinese hamster). Lineage: Eukaryota; Metazoa; Chordata; Mammalia; Rodentia; Cricetidae. The record is from RNAcentral.